GUAUAUAUGUUUUACAGGCAUGCAAUAUGCCUAACUAUCACAUUCUGAUACUUUAUAUGGAGUAUAUGAAAAACAUAGACCUGAAAGGUGAAGAAAAGCCGGCAUUAUACACGGCAGUUCCUCCGACCGAGUCAACCUCGAGAGGUAUUCAGAUCUACACAAAGUGCACAGGUGGUUAUAAAGUCGGAAUAGGCGUGCACAUGCCCCAAAGAGCCAGCAACAACCUAAACCAAGUUUAUUCGAUAAUGAUCCUUCCGCAGGUUCACCUACGGAAA
Molecule: unclassified non-coding RNA, 275 nt
Filed under: uncultured fungus
Lineage: Eukaryota; Fungi
Description: sequence contains ITS1
Source: RNAcentral